Non-coding RNA from Papio anubis (olive baboon), 61 nucleotides. Lineage: Eukaryota; Metazoa; Chordata; Mammalia; Primates; Cercopithecidae. The record is from Rfam.
GCAGGAUGGCGGCCGUGGAAGUUGAAAUCCACUAAGGAGUAUGUUACAACUCACCUGCCAA